Molecule: ribosomal RNA, 468 nt
Filed under: uncultured bacterium
Lineage: Bacteria
Description: partial 16S ribosomal RNA
Rfam family: Bacterial small subunit ribosomal RNA
Source: RNAcentral
GACGAACGCUGGCGGCGUGCUUAACACAUGCAAGUCGAACGGAAAGGCCCUGCUUUUGUGGGGUGCUCGAGUGGCGAACGGGUGAGUAACACGUGAGUAACCUGCCCUUGACUUUGGGAUAACUUCAGGAAACUGGGGCUAAUACCGGAUAGGAGCUCCUGCUGCAUGGUGGGGGUUGGAAAGUUUCGGCGGUUGGGGAUGGACUCGCGGCUUAUCAGCUUGUUGGUGGGGUAGUGGCUUACCAAGGCUUUGACGGGUAGCCGGCCUGAGAGGGUGACCGGCCACAUUGGGACUGAGAUACGGCGCAGACUCCAACGGGAGGCAGCAGUGGGAAAUAUUGCACAAUGGGCGGAAGCCUGAUGCAGCAACGCCGCGUGCGGGAUGACGGCCUUCGGGUUGUAAACCGCUUUCGCCUGUGACGAAGCGUGAGUGACGGUAAUGAGUAAAGAAGCACCGGCUAACUACGUG